ACAGAUUCCUGAUUGUGAUAAACCAUCAAGUUCAGUGGAAAACCAGGUUCAAAACUUAAUAUAUUGCUAUUACUUGUUACUUGUUGUCUUGUACUGUAGGAUGUAAUUCUGGCUUUUCCAGAUUGAGUCAAAUAAUCUAGGGCUGGUUAUAUAAAACUCUAACUACUUUUUAUCAACUAUUUUGUAGUUAAACAGUAAUUAACCCCGGUUGAAAAAAUAGUUUGUGAGCGUCCCAACAGGGAAUCGAAGGUCUCUGGUUUGAUAUCCCCAGGGCUUUCAACAUUAUUAAAAUAUGGGUUAAGUUUUGACAACUUUUCAAGUGUGUCCCGUUUGGGAGGUGUGUCCCGUUUGACUCCAUCAGUUUGUAGUCAGUUAAGCUUGUUUACUGCAGUAUAGGAAUGGAUGAAAUUCUUGUUGAAACGAAACGCGUCAUUAAAAGACGCUAAAACGUCAGAAUUUUGAUGAAUCCUUCGAUUCUACUGAAAUUGUAGUUUUAGUUUUCAGAUGGUUUUCAGUAAAAAAACACUUAUAUGUUUGUUCUAGCUAUUUUCUUGCCCGUGGUUUAGAGGUGGAUGAGUGUCUCUAUAGAGCGAUCCCAAAAGCUCAGUGGUUUUUAGCAAAUGACUUGACACCAUUUGGAAAAGCCACAGUUAUAUGAUGACCUACAAAUGUGUAAAUAACCUUGCAUCGAUUACCUGUGCAAUAAGUUUAGGAAAAGGUCAUCAAUUAAUCCAUAAACGUCAGACUCGCAUACAGGACUCUCUGCAAAUACCACUCUUCAAAACUGUAGCUGGUCAAUUAUACGCUUGUUUGGCUAUAGAGCUGUCCACAUUUGGAACAAUUUAGAUAAAAACCUGAAAGAUAGCGCUUCCUUUAAAAUCUUCAAGACAGCACUUAAAAAACAUUUGCUUGUCAAGGAGAACGUUUAAUAACUUACUAAACUUUGUGCAUGGUCGACAAAAAAAUUGUAAAUAAUUUCUGAAAAACCCUUUCAGGGAGAAAUUUUAUUAAAUAUGUAUCUAUCGAUAUGUUUCUCCAUAUACAGUAAUUUAUACCAUAACUUAUAUAUCUGAAUGCUUAUGACACGUACCCAGAAUAAUGAUAAAGUUUUAUUAUAAAUUGUUCUGUAGAAGAUGACAAAUUCAUAUUGUGAGCCAGGGACUAGUAGCAGCUCAGUAAGUAAUUAUGUUACUUCAAUACUUGUAUAUGUUGUAUAUUGCAUCAUAAUACAGAAUAUGUACAUUGCAGUGUAAAAAUUGUGUUCACUAAUUAACAAUUAUUUGCCGAAGGCGAGGUGAAUAUCAGUGAAUAAAAAACGAGACGGAGUCGAUGUUUUUAUUCACGAUAAUCACCGAGCCCGAGGUGAAUAAUUGUUUUAGUACAAUUUCAUAGGUGAUUAUUUGGAAAAAAAUAAAAAUACACAUUUUCAUUUAUCGCUUUCUGUAAAAAUUAUCGCUUUUCAAAGACUGUCUUUAUAUAAUAAACAGAAAAAUACACGUGUGCUUGGAAAUACCAGAUUUAUUUCUCGUGUUGAACAUUAUAUCUCACUCGUUCGCUGCGCUCACCCGUGGGAUAUCAUGUUCAACACUCGAAAUAAAUCUGGUAUUACCGCGCACCCAUGUAUUAUUCUCUAUAUAAUCACCUCAACAGCGUGGAGAAUUGUCAAUAAUUACCUAUGUAAGUAUACUUAUAGAAAAUAUGCACAUUUUGUUUGAUUUAGAAUGGUGAGCGACAGGGAACUUCGUCCAAAUCAGUGAGUAUGACUAGUGCUGAUGUUCAAAUAAUAAAUUAUUGCUGUGAUGCAGUGUUCUUGUUGGCAAUGAAUACGAGUAACGCGAUACCAUUAACACUUUAUAACAAUGGAUCAUACCUAUAAGCUACUGUAUAGACGAAAUUUUGAUCUAGACAAGGAGAACGAAAUCCAUUACAUGCGUAGCUGGAAAGAGCAUCUUAAAAUUGGUAAAUUUGCAAUGUUUGGUUGCGAGUUGUGGUAAAAUGAGGAAAAUACACUGUACAGCCCUGUGAAGUUCGCAAAUUUUGUAUAUAUUUGCAUUAUACGCGCGGGAAAAAUAACCAUUUUUGAGCCGAAAGUGGUUAUUUUUACCGCGCGUAAUACAAAUAUAUACAAAAUUUGCGAACUUCAGAGGGCUAUAUUUUCUUCAUUUUACAACAUUAAGCAACCAAUCUUUGCAUGCAGGUUUACUUAUUCUAAGACGCCCUGUCUAGCUGUGGUGUUGGAUUUCGGAAUCACCCCUUAUAUACACUUUAUUAAUAAUACUGUUAAGCCUGGUUCACAUAUGUCUGCGAUAUGCCUGCGACGUCAUUGUUUAGCUAUUGAUGCAUAGAUUCUUUUAUGAAUUAUUUGGUCGAACUGCUAAAGACAAUAGCCUGCCGACACAUCGCAGACAUAUAUGAACCAGGCUUUACACGGGACUUCCGUGCAAUUGUUGGUAGUAAAGGUGGUACUGGCUAUUGUCCUCUCUUGGACAACCAUUUCGUUUGUUUUCUUUCAUACGAUUGUUCAGCGCCCAACUGUAUAUGCUUUCAUUUUGCCUUUAUUUACAGAGCUACAAAUCUUUUACCAAGAAUAUUUUAAAGUAUACUGUAUCAAGGUUAGAAACCUAUUGCUCUUGAUUUAGCUAAAAUUUCUACCAUUCUACAUAUGUAUCUUGAAUUUUUAUACUGUAGUUCUAAAUAUUUAAAUUGUAUUUAUUUUCUCAGAGGCCGAAGUCGACAUGUUGAUCAUGAAUUUGACCUGGAUUUAACUUAUAUCACAGAUCGGAUUAUUGGUAAGUCUUU
Paramuricea clavata is the source of this 2799-nucleotide non-coding RNA. NCBI's taxonomy places the organism in Eukaryota, Metazoa, Cnidaria, Anthozoa, Malacalcyonacea, Plexauridae. The record is from the annotation of a GenBank genome assembly.